RNAcentral lists this long non-coding RNA (204 nucleotides) under Musa acuminata (dwarf banana). Its description in RNAcentral is "long non-coding RNA (MACU_LNC010145)". Lineage: Eukaryota; Viridiplantae; Streptophyta; Magnoliopsida; Zingiberales; Musaceae. The record is from RNAcentral.
ACUGACAGGCGGUGGCACUGCCAGCAUCGGGAACCCAAAGAGAAUUCAAAUUUUGGAGUCCAAAUUUGAAUCCUCUUGAGGCCUAUAAAUACCCCUCAAAUCUCAGCUGAGAUUACAACUUUUUGAGAAGCAAUUGAUUGAGAGAAAAGUCUUAGAAAGUCUUAGCAAGUCUUAUUUUCAAUUUGCUAGAGUGUUCUCCUCCUU